Molecule: small nuclear RNA, 22 nt
Filed under: Arabidopsis thaliana (thale cress)
Lineage: Eukaryota; Viridiplantae; Streptophyta; Magnoliopsida; Brassicales; Brassicaceae
Description: snRNA_07075
Source: RNAcentral
AUUUGGAAUAUUUCCAUACUAA